RNAcentral lists this small nuclear RNA (300 nucleotides) under Oryctolagus cuniculus (rabbit). Its description in RNAcentral is "7SK RNA". It matches the Rfam family "7SK RNA". Rfam says of the family: 7SK was discovered as an abundant small nuclear RNA in the mid-70s but a possible function has only recently been suggested. Two independent studies have found that 7SK RNA binds the CDK9/cyclin T complex (known as elongation factor P-TEFb). Lineage: Eukaryota; Metazoa; Chordata; Mammalia; Lagomorpha; Leporidae. The record is from Rfam by way of RNAcentral.
GAAUGUGGGGGCAAUCUGGCUGCUUCAUCUGUCACCCUGUCGAUUGGCUGAUCUGGCUGGCUAGGAGGGUGUCCUGUUCCUCCCUCACCACUCCAUUCACAUCCCUCCAGAAUCUGCACACUCCGUUGAAGAGGACGACCUUCCCUCUAGAGGAGGACAGAUCUUUGGUCAAGGGUGAAUGAGCAGCUGUGCACCCCUGCUAGAACUUCCAAUUAAGCUCUCAUGAAGCGGCUCUAGGAGGCGAUUAGGUCUGAAGGCACAGACGUUUUUGUCAGUGCCUGUAUAACAGAGGCCUGAGAU